GACUCCGUAGCUCAGAGGUUAGAGCAUACGAUUGCAGCCAGGCGCUUAUCGUGUUGUCGCGUGUUCGACUCACGCCGGGGUCU
Artomyces pyxidatus is the source of this 83-nucleotide non-coding RNA. The record is from the annotation of a GenBank genome assembly. NCBI's taxonomy places the organism in Eukaryota, Fungi, Basidiomycota, Agaricomycetes, Russulales, Auriscalpiaceae.